CACACACACACACACAUUCAUAUCUAUAAUCUGCCCAUGCGGAGAACGGGAUGAUGAACUAGUAGUUAAUAUACAAUAUGACACCAUGUUGUAGAUAGAAAUUCAUUUGGUGAUCAGACAUUAAUGUAUACUGUGUUAUCCACCACCUUUAGUGAAACCAACCUAUCUAAAUUGUCCAAGCAUCUUAAUUUGGAUCACCUUUUUCCAGUCUGGAUUUGCCAUAUGGGUUUGAAAUUAAUUAUAAUAUCAUUUAUUGAUGGGACAGCUAGAUGGAUUGAUUGUUUUCGAUUAAACAUAAUUAGCUAAUGAAGGCAUGCAAUUUUGUCAUUACAGGGACGUUGUCAUGAAAUUGAAUAGACAAAUGGAUGGAGAAGGUGUUAAGCUAAGGAAGGCUGGAAAACUAAAAUGAAGGAAGUAUCACAAUAAAGGACCGAAUUAUGUAUGGCACCUUGAUGGUUAAGAUAAAGUGAAGCCAUUUGGCAUAAGCAUACAUGGUUGUAUUGACGGGUACUCUCGAAGAAUUAUGUGGUUGCGGGCAAGUAAAACAAACAAUGACCCUAAAGUUAUUGCUGGAUACUACUUUAAGUCCAUCAGAGAAAUUGGAGGUAAUGAAUGAAAUCAUGCUUGGUGUCCCCGGGUAGUGCGAGCAGACAGAGGCACUGAGAAUACAACAAUUGCUUUUGUUCAGCCAUUUCUAAGGCACUAUGGGACAGACAGCCUAGCCAAAACUAAGAGUUUUUGGUACGGGAAAUCUAUCACAAACCAGCGAAUUGAGUCAUGGUGGGGUCAGUUAAGGAAAAGAUGUAUGCAAUGGUGGAUGAACUUUUUCAAAGAUAUGCAACUUUCAGCAAAAUUUAAUGAUUCAAACCCAUUGCAUAGAAUGUGUAAGGAUGCCCUUCGAUUUUGUUUUAUGGAUCUUAUCGACAAUGAACUUCAAAUUGUGAAGCAGGAGUGGAACAAACAUACAAUUCGCCUUUCCAGGUAUACAGAUACUCCCCAGAGAUUCCUAAUGCUUUGUACUUUUACCCACAACUGAAAGGUGCAAAUUGCUACAAGUGUCCUGUAACUGAAGAACAGUUGGCUGCUGUAGAGAAGCAUGUAUCAGAUCCACCACCUGCUGCUUCCCCUGAAUUCUGUUCAAUCGCACAGUAUGUUAUGAGGAAAAACAACAUUAUAGAAACACCAAAAUCAGCAGCAGAGGGGCUUGCACUGUAUGAGCAACUAGUUAAAGCUGUGACAGACCAUGACUCUGCCACAUUGGCAUAGGAAUUGUUAUUGUGUUUGGCUGAGAUGCCACAAUGUAUCACAACGUUUACUGGUUUAGUGCAUGUAUGGCGAAGUUGAAGUGUAGACAGAAAUAUAAUUUAAUUGUUUAGGGGUCUUCUA
Molecule: RNA transcript, 1386 nt
Organism: Corticium candelabrum
Lineage: Eukaryota; Metazoa; Porifera; Homoscleromorpha; Homosclerophorida; Plakinidae
Exons: 8
Source: RefSeq, a predicted model, not a curated record